UGAGUUCCAGUAUCUCAAGGGUCAUGGAAUGAUGCUUCGCCAUUGAUGAUCCUUUUUUCACAGAAUUCAAUGAGGAGGAAGCAGAGGAGACAGCAACUUCAUGCCCAAUCUCAUCAGCUGACAGAUUGUCCACAUAUACAAGGUACCGGGUAUAAUCUCGAUAGCAGGUGAAGUGAUACCGUGCUUCACUAGCCACCAAGUCCCUGUCUUGGAUAUGGAGAAGGAGAGACUCAUCCCUUCUGCCUUCAGCAGCGAGAAGCAAUUUCCC
Molecule: long non-coding RNA, 268 nt
Organism: Perca fluviatilis (European perch)
Lineage: Eukaryota; Metazoa; Chordata; Actinopteri; Perciformes; Percidae
Exons: 4
Source: RefSeq, a predicted model, not a curated record